AUGUUGAGGGGGCCACACGGCUCCAGGAUGGGCGGGGCUGUGAGGCAGCAGGUGUGCGAUACCUGCCGAGCCAGGCUGAGGAGGCUGCAGGUGGCCUGGGUCCUGGGGCAGCGCAGAGAGGCUCCCGCAGGAGGGAGACCUCCCUGGGACUUCAGGGGGCUAUUUCCCGACCUUGUCCUUGAGCAUUUACAAGAGGCGGCACGGCACAUUCUCCACAGCCCGAAAUCCGCCUGGAGCACGGCUCUGCUCGGGGCCUGCCUCAGCACCGACGGUUUGGGGGCGUCUCGUCCGGUCUGGGUUCCCGACACUCGCUGGUUCUUCUCUGGGGCGACCCCUCCCGCACCUGCCGCUCGGGCGGCCCAGCUUCCCCUCGACCCCGGCCGCUCGGCCCUGGCUCCUCGCCGGAUCCCCUCAGAGGCCCCCAGAGACGCCUUCCCGCGCCGCUGCCUCGCAGCCCUCGGUCCCCCCAGACCGCCCCCCACCCACCACGUGGCCGGCUCCCCGCUUCCGCCCCUCCCGGCCGCACCCCUCCCGGGCCGCGGUACCUGGGGCUCUCGAAGCUGCACCCCCUGCGCCGCAGCGCCGCCCUCUUCUGCCGCAGAAGCGCAGCGGCCGCCCCGCCGGGCUCCGGCUCCAUCGCCCCGGGCGGGGGCCGCGGGCUCGGGCGCACUCGGGUNCCCCUCAGCACAGCCCCAGGCCCCACCCCCCUACUCCUCACUACUGAGCUCCCGCGCGGCCCCGGCCCUCACCCAAAGGGUCGGCUCCCUCGAGCGUCGUCCCUCCACACCUCAGUGCCUUCUGGCCGUUUCUAACGUAGCAGCGUCCCUCUGGGGGCCGCCCUUCCCUGUGUCCCGCCCACAGGCACGGAGCCCCCUUUUCUCUCUAAAGCCCCCAAGCAUGAGAGUCCACUCACUCCCGCUGCCUUCAACCCAGCUAGGACAGGGCUCUGCCCACAGCCCGCGUGUCCCCCAAGCCCCACCCACGACACGGCCCCGCCCACACCGCCUCACCUGCUCGGGCUUCAGGCCCGGGCGAGCGACUCGCAGGGGUGGGAUUCUGCCCUCAAGGCUAAACAGGCAUUUUACCGUAGUCUGCGUUAGCUCGCAUCUCUCUCCAUCCAUUAAGUGGAGGUACUGCUGUCUCCUGGUGGCCGUUCGUGGCGCCUGA
This 1167-nucleotide long non-coding RNA is filed under the name Ailuropoda melanoleuca (giant panda). Its description in RNAcentral is "lncRNA (ENSAMEG00000025982.1)". Lineage: Eukaryota; Metazoa; Chordata; Mammalia; Carnivora; Ursidae. The record is from RNAcentral.